Molecule: long non-coding RNA, 2063 nt
Filed under: Homo sapiens (human)
Lineage: Eukaryota; Metazoa; Chordata; Mammalia; Primates; Hominidae
Description: HSALNT0362078
Source: RNAcentral
CUCUCAGGAGGCCCAUGGUUAAUGGGACAUACAGAUAUACAACAUAUGGUGGGAUGGAUCACUAACAUAUGGUGAGAUAAGAAGAAAAAAAGGGGUCAGCAGGAUGCUAUGAGAACAAAGUAGGAGAAGUGAUGAAACACCUUGCCAAUGUGGAAGACUUCAUGGAGGAACUUAGAUCUGUUACUUCUCAUUGAAGAACAAGGACAAAAGAAGAGAAAGAAGAAGGAAGAAGGAAGGGAAAAUAGCCCAGCCUCCAUUCCCAUUCAAUCUAUACUCUCUGAUGAAAAUUUGAUGCUGCUCUGCCUACCAAUUCAUUAUAGUCAUCAUUACUAAAUAGCCAUCAUGUUUAAUGGCUGGUAGUCACUAUGAGAGUGGCAUGGAGUCAGACAAGAGUUUAGAAGAGUGAGGAGGUAUCUUUGUUCACCUCUGGUCCCUAGUGUGUUCCAGGCCUGCUUCAUUGAAAUUUCUGCAUCAAUAUUUCAUUAACUCAUACCAAGCAUGCAACAUGACUUUCUGUGCAAAUUAAACUAAUAUUUGAAAUGAAGAAAAACAAUCAUGGGAGGGGUAGUCACUUACCACAAGGACUCUGCAAAGGAGUUACACAGAAAAGGCAGCUGUAUUUUUGUGCUUUUGCCAUAAAAUGGAGCAUUCAGUCUGUUCUGUAAAGUACUAUAAUUAUAAAGCAAUUUGCCACCUCUAAUGGGAGGACUUUCUUUCAUAAAAUAUUAACGAAAUAUAAUAUCGGUGCAAUAGGUUAGAAACAGUCUUAGUUUCUCCAUAAAAAGUCAAUUUGUAACCACUGUGAAUGUCUUCUUCAAGAUGAUGGUAACCAGAAACAUCCUCUGUGCCCAUUGUCACUUGGCCUUGAAUUAAGCACAACACAUUUCUCCUGUCCUCCCUCGCUAAUUUGAGGCUAAGUGCUUUUCCCUGUAAACAUGUUAAUUUGCAAUGCUGUUCUGUCUUCUCGCCGAGUACUUCUCAACGGAAUGCACUGCUAUUGCCCAGGCAGUUUUGUUGUGAUAAUGGUGGCCCCAAAGUCUAAACUGUCAACAAAUGAAAAAACUCAAAGCUAAGUUGAAGACACAGUUUGCAAAACUCAAACCUCUUUGUACUGUUGAAUUACUUGUGUCUUUUGAAAUCAUGGAAAGAGAUAGUUCUUCUUGUGAGAUUGAUGUUCUCCAGGCAGGGUUGUUGUCCAGACUGCAAAUGCAGGGAGAGAUGCCUGGAGUUACCAACUCAGAUUUUGCAGGCAAAGGCAAAGGCUCUGGUUGCAAGGAGACAAACAAACAAACAAAAACAACUUUUUUUUCUUUUCUUUUCUACUUAUAUAUUUCCUUAUAUUCAGGAACUGUUUUUCCUAUGCAGCUUGGUUAUUAUCCUUUUCCAUCCGGAGGUAGCAAACCCUCUCUAACUAUUAGCCAAUUUGUUUUCUAGGGAAAAGAGGCAAUCCAAAGUGAAAAGUGAAGAUGUUUGUCUCCCAGUAUUAUUUCAAGCCACUGUGUUAUUCUUCACUGACUUCUCAAAUUGGAAAGAGAGAGAAAAAAACACACCAAAAACAAAACAAAACAAAACAAAACAAAAAUCAAAUCCCCAAACACUAUUGUUUUUAAAACCAUCUUCAUUAGACAUAACAUAUAGAAAAUCCAUAUUUGCUUAUUUGGAAAUUGCCUAAGGGCUGCAUCAAUUUCCAUACAUUCCUUUGUUGAUCUACAAGUCUUAAAUGGAUCAUCAAACUCUAUUAAUUGUAGUCAGCAAAAUCCUUUUAGUAUUCUCAUUCUUAGGAGUCUUGAAAUUUAGCCAGAAAGUUUUCAAAGAGGAUAUUUGUUAUAGUAAGACCCAGGAACAGAAACAUUUAUUAGAUAAAUUCUGAAUGAAAGCUGGAAGUAGAACUCUGGCCCUAUGUUCCCCUCCAGGGAUGUGAAUAUUUUGCUAUAGGUUGGUUGACAGUUGCUAUAUGUUCUGAAUGAAUGAAUGAGUCCAUGAAUUUAAUCAAAUAUUCAUAUUUAAAUCUUGGAAUUUUUUAAAGCAUGUUGCAAACUGGUAUUAUAGCAUAAUCUAAUAUU